GACGAACGCUGGCGGCGUGCUUAACACAUGCAAGUCGAACGGAAAGGCCCUGCUUUUGUGGGGUGCUCGAGUGGCGAACGGGUGAGUAACACGCGAGUAACCUGCCCUUGACUUUGGGAUAACUUCAGGAAACUGGGGCUAAUACCGGAUAGGAGCUCCUGCUGCAGGGUGGGGGUUGGAAAGUUUCGGCGGUUGGGGAUGGACUCGCGGCUUAUCAGCUUGUUGGUGGGGUAGUGGCUUACCAAGGCUUUGACGGGUAGCCGGCCUGAGAGGGUGACCGGCCACAUUGGGACUGAGAUACGGCACAGACUCCUACGGGAGGCAGAAGUGGGGAAUAUUGCACAAUGGGCGGAAGCCGGAUGCAGCAACGCCGCGUGCGGGAUGACGGCCUUCGGGUUAUAGACCGCUUUCGCCUGUGACGAAGCGUGAGUGACGGUAAUGGGUAAAGAAGCACCGGCUAACUACGUG
This 468-nucleotide ribosomal RNA is filed under the name uncultured bacterium. RNAcentral describes it as "partial 16S ribosomal RNA". It matches the Rfam family "Bacterial small subunit ribosomal RNA", at positions 28 to 507 of the family's 1533-position model. The record is from RNAcentral.